UAAGACGAACCGUACAAACGUUAUUCGGAAUCACUGGGCUUAAAGAGUGCGUAGGCGGCCUAGCAGGUUGGGUGUGAAAUCCCUCGGCUCAACCGAGGAACUGCGCUCAAAACCGCUAGGCUUGAGGGAGAUAGAGGUGAGCGGAACUGAUGGUGGAGCGGUGAAAUGCGUUGAUAUCAUCAGGAACACCUGUGGCGAAAGCGGCUCACUGGGUCUCGUCUGACGCUGAGGCACGAAAGCUAGGGUAGCGAACAGGAUUAGAUACCCUGGUAGUCCUAGCUGUAAACGAUGAGCACUGGAUCGAGGGGGCUUCCACACCUUCUUGGUCGUAGCGAAAGUGUUAAGUGCUCCGCCUGGGGAGUAUGGUCGCAAGGCUG
This 377-nucleotide ribosomal RNA is filed under the name uncultured Planctomycetota bacterium. RNAcentral describes it as "bacterial SSU rRNA". It matches the Rfam family "Bacterial small subunit ribosomal RNA", at positions 521 to 896 of the family's 1533-position model. The record is from RNAcentral. Lineage: Bacteria; Pseudomonadati; Planctomycetota.